GUGAUAUUCUGGCUUGCUUGCAGGUUUAUCCUAUUCUUUGACGUAAUAAAUGUAUGUGGGAAUAACAUUGAUAUUAUAAAAAUAUGUCCAGCUAAUGAAUUUGUUAAACUGAUUUGCUUUAAUUAGUACAAUAAAAUUUACUACUUGCAUUUACAAUUAAUCUCUUGUACAAUUUAAAUGUGCUUUGCAUUGUCUAGGCCAUUAGAAUUUUUUUGGUCAUUCUCUUCAUUUGCUGGCGCUUUUAGUUGUUCCUGUUUUAACUUGAUUUACUUAUAGUUUGUGGCAAAUCUUGUCUUUCUUCUGUUGCGCAUGAACACCUUCUCUCUAUAGUUUUAAAUUUCACUUUCUAGAUAAUGUUAUGCCUAUCGAGCAUACAUGCAGCAGAGAGAAAACCUAACUAUUGUUGUUUACUUAUUCCCACCAUUUAAAGUUGUUUAGUCCUAUUUUGUUUUGGCAGGAAAAUGGUGAAUGGACUGA
RNAcentral lists this unclassified non-coding RNA (477 nucleotides) under Hevea brasiliensis (rubber tree). Lineage: Eukaryota; Viridiplantae; Streptophyta; Magnoliopsida; Malpighiales; Euphorbiaceae. The record is from RNAcentral.